This 497-nucleotide ribosomal RNA is filed under the name uncultured bacterium. RNAcentral's name for it is "partial 16S ribosomal RNA". It matches the Rfam family "Bacterial small subunit ribosomal RNA", at positions 28 to 507 of the family's 1533-position model. The record is from RNAcentral.
GAUGAACGCUGGCGGCGUGCCUAAUACAUGCAAGUCGAGCGAACAGGCGAGGAGCUUGCUCCUCUGACGUUAGUGGCGGACGGGUGAGUAACACGUGGAUAACCUACCUAUAAGACUGGGAUAACUUCGGGAAACCGGAGCUAAUACCGGAUAAUAUAUUGAACCGCAUGGUUCAAUAGUGAAAGACGGUUUUGCUGUCACUUAUAGAUGGAUCCGCGCCGCAUUAGCUAGUUGGUAAGGUAACGGCUUACCAAGGCAACGAUGCGUAGCCGACCUGAGAGGGUGAUCGGCCACACUGGAACUGAGACACGGUCCAGACUCCUACGGGAGGCAGCAGUAGGGAAUCUUCCGCAAUGGGCGAAAGCCUGACGGAGCAACGCCGCGUGAGUGAUGAAGGUCUUCGGAUCGUAAAACUCUGUUAUUAGGGAAGAACAAAUGUGUAAGUAACUAUGCACGUCUUGACGGUACCUAAUCAGAAAGCCACGGCUAACUACGUG